GCCGCCAUGGUGAAAUUGGUAGACACGCUGCUCUUAGGAAGCAGUGCUAAAUGCAUCUCGGUUCAAGUCCGAGUGGCGGCA
This 81-nucleotide transfer RNA is filed under the name Juncus roemerianus. Its description in RNAcentral is "tRNA-Leu". It matches the Rfam family "tRNA". From Rfam's summary of the family: Transfer RNA (tRNA) molecules are approximately 80 nucleotides in length. Their secondary structure includes four short double-helical elements and three loops (D, anti-codon, and T loops). Further hydrogen bonds mediate the characteristic L-shaped molecular structure. tRNAs have two regions of fundamental functional importance: the anti-codon, which is responsible for specific mRNA codon recognition, and the 3' end, to which the tRNAs corresponding amino acid is attached (by aminoacyl-tRNA synthetases). tRNAs cope with the degeneracy of the genetic code in two manners: having more than one tRNA (with a specific anti-codon) for a particular amino acid; and 'wobble' base-pairing, i.e. permitting non-standard base-pairing at the 3rd anti-codon position. The record is from RNAcentral. Lineage: Eukaryota; Viridiplantae; Streptophyta; Magnoliopsida; Poales; Juncaceae.